Molecule: ribosomal RNA, 460 nt
Filed under: uncultured bacterium
Lineage: Bacteria
Description: partial 16S ribosomal RNA
Rfam family: Bacterial small subunit ribosomal RNA
Source: RNAcentral
CCUACGGGAGGCAGCAGUGAGGAAUAUUGGUCAAUGGACGCAAGUCUGAACCAGCCAUGCCGCGUGCAGGAUGACGGCUCUAUGAGUUGUAAACUGCUUUUGUACGAGGGUAAACCCCGAUACGUGUAUCGGUGUGAAAGUAUCUUACGAAUAAGGAUCGGCUAACUCCGUGCCAGCAGCCGCGGUAAUACGGAGGAUCCGAGCGUUAUCCGGAUUUAUUGGGUUUAAGGGGUGCGUAGGCGGUUUGAUAAGUUAGAGGUGAAAUGUCGGGGUUCAACCCCGAAACUGCCUCUAAUACUGUUGGACUAGAGAACAGUUGAGGUAGGCGGAAUGUAUGGUGUAGCGGUGAAAUGCUUAGAGAUCAUACAGAACACCGAUUGCGAAGGCAGCUUACCAAACUAUACCUGACGUUGAGGCACGAAAGCGUGGGUAGCAAACAGGAUUAGAUACCCGUGUAGUC